This 794-nucleotide ribosomal RNA is filed under the name Enterococcus faecium. Its description in RNAcentral is "bacterial SSU rRNA". It matches the Rfam family "Bacterial small subunit ribosomal RNA", at positions 23 to 789 of the family's 1533-position model. The record is from RNAcentral. Lineage: Bacteria; Bacillati; Bacillota; Bacilli; Lactobacillales; Enterococcaceae.
CUCAGGACGAACGCUGGCGGCGUGCCUAAUACAUGCAAGUCGAACGCUUUUUCUUUCACCGGAGCUUGCUCCACCGAAAGAAAAAGAGUGGCGAACGGGUGAGUAACACGUGGGUAACCUGCCCAUCAGAAGGGGAUAACACUUGGAAACAGGUGCUAAUACCGUAUAACACUAUUUUCCGCAUGGAAGAAAGUUGAAAGGCGCUUUUGCGUCACUGAUGGAUGGACCCGCGGUGCAUUAGCUAGUUGGUGAGGUAACGGCUCACCAAGGCAACGAUGCAUAGCCGACCUGAGAGGGUGAUCGGCCACACUGGGACUGAGACACGGCCCAGACUCCUACGGGAGGCAGCAGUAGGGAAUCUUCGGCAAUGGACGAAAGUCUGACCGAGCAACGCCGCGUGAGUGAAGAAGGUUUUCGGAUCGUAAAACUCUGUUGUUAGAGAAGAACAAGGAUGAGAGUAAAAUGUUCAUCCCUUGACGGUAUCUAACCAGAAAGCCACGGCUAACUACGUGCCAGCAGCCGCGGUAAUACGUAGGUGGCAAGCGUUGUCCGGAUUUAUUGGGCGUAAAGCGAGCGCAGGCGGUUUCUUAAGUCUGAUGUGAAAGCCCCCGGCUCAACCGGGGAGGGUCAUUGGAAACUGGGAGACUUGAGUGCAGAAGAGGAGAGUGGAAUUCCAUGUGUAGCGGUGAAAUGCGUAGAUAUAUGGAGGAACACCAGUGGCGAAGGCGGCUCUCUGGUCUGUAACUGACGCUGAGGCUCGAAAGCGUGGGGAGCGAACAGGAUUAGAUACCCUG